Molecule: microRNA precursor, 96 nt
Organism: Mesocricetus auratus (golden hamster)
Lineage: Eukaryota; Metazoa; Chordata; Mammalia; Rodentia; Cricetidae
Product: microRNA 18
Source: Ensembl
UGAGUGCUUUUUGUACUAAGGUGCAUCUAGUGCAGAUAGUGAAGUCGACUAGCAUCUACUGCCCUAAGUGCUCCUUCUGGCAUAAGAAGUUGUGUC